AUUGAACGCUGGCGGCGUGCCUAACACAUGCAAGUCGAGCGGUAACAGGUGUAGCAAUACAUGCUGACGAGCGGCGAACGGGUGAGUAAUGCUUCGGAAUCUGCCCAUGUAGUGGGGAAUAACCAGCCGAAAGGUUGGCUAAUACCGCAUACGACCUACGGGUGAAAGCAGGGGAUCGCAAGACCUUGCGCUAUUGGAUGAGCCGAAGUCGGAUUAGCUUGUUGGUAGGGUAACGGCCUACCAAGGCGACGAUCCGUAGCUGGUCUGAGAGGACGACCAGCCACACUGGGACUGAGACACGGCCCA
This 306-nucleotide ribosomal RNA is filed under the name uncultured bacterium. RNAcentral's name for it is "bacterial SSU rRNA". It matches the Rfam family "Bacterial small subunit ribosomal RNA", at positions 30 to 333 of the family's 1533-position model. The record is from RNAcentral.